Molecule: ribosomal RNA, 655 nt
Filed under: uncultured bacterium
Lineage: Bacteria
Description: bacterial SSU rRNA
Rfam family: Bacterial small subunit ribosomal RNA
Source: RNAcentral
GGGAUAACAGUUAGAAAUGACUGCUAAUACCGCAUAAGACCACAGCACCGCAUGGUGCAGGGGUAAAAACUCCGGUGGUAUGAGAUGGACCCGCGUCUGAUUAGGUAGUUGGUGGGGUAACGGCCUACCAAGCCGACGAUCAGUAGCCGACCUGAGAGGGUGACCGGCCACAUUGGGACUGAGACACGGCCCAAACUCCUACGGGAGGCAGCAGUGGGGAAUAUUGCACAAUGGGGGAAACCCUGAUGCAGCGACGCCGCGUGAGCGAUGAAGUAUUUCGGUAUGUAAAGCUCUAUCAGCAGGGAAGAAAAUGACGGUACCUGACUAAGAAGCACCGGCUAAAUACGUGCCAGCAGCCGCGGUAAUACGUAUGGUGCAAGCGUUAUCCGGAUUUACUGGGUGUAAAGGGAGCGUGGACGGAGUGGCAAGUCUGAUGUGAAAACCCGGGGCUCAACCCCGGGACUGCAUUGGAAACUGUCAAUCUAGAGUACCGGAGAGGUAAGCGGAAUUCCUAGUGUAGCGGUGAAAUGCGUAGAUAUUAGGAGGAACACCAGUGGCGAAGGCGGCUUACUGGACGGUAACUGACGUUGAGGCUCGAAAGCGUGGGGAGCAAACAGGAUUAGAUACCCUGGUAGUCCACGCCGUAAACGAUGAC